ACAAUUGUCUCAUGGAUUCGUGGU
RNAcentral lists this non-coding RNA (24 nucleotides) under Arabidopsis thaliana (thale cress). Lineage: Eukaryota; Viridiplantae; Streptophyta; Magnoliopsida; Brassicales; Brassicaceae. The record is from RNAcentral.